GCCACUAAGGUGGUCAAGGCAGGCCAGGAGACAGGGGACUAUUCUGAGACUCGGGAGGCGUCAUAUACUACCAGCCAAUCUUCUGAACACUCCAAAGUGAAUCAGGAGACCAGUGUUCUUAUGAGACCCAAGAAGAAGAAGAAGCUGCUGUCAACAAGGAAUAUUCAUCCGUGGAAACCAGAGUCUGGCAAGAAGCCUGCACUCACUGUUAUGAGAAAAGGGGGUAUGGUCUUCCACUCUCUGUCUCUCUGCCAGGACGUACAGUGUAUUUAAGAUCUUGGGUGGUUUUUAAUGCUCUUUGUUCUGUCACAGUAAUUCUCCUAUUGCUCUUGAGAAAGAACAUGGUUAUAAUGCCAAGUAGAAUAACUAGCUACAAUGUUGUCCCUGUAAAGUUCUCUCUCUCUCUCUCUCUCUGUUUCUCUCUCUCUGUUUCUCUCUCUCUCUGUUUCUCUCUCUGUUUGUCCCUGUAAAGUUCUCUCUCUCUCUCUCUCUCUCUGUUUGUCCCUGUAAAGUUCUCUCUCUCUCUCUCUCUCUCUCUCUCUGUUUCUCUCUCUCUCUGUUUCUCUCUCUCUCUCUGUC
Molecule: long non-coding RNA, 579 nt
Organism: Oncorhynchus masou masou (cherry salmon)
Lineage: Eukaryota; Metazoa; Chordata; Actinopteri; Salmoniformes; Salmonidae
Exons: 3
Source: RefSeq, a predicted model, not a curated record